This 317-nucleotide small nuclear RNA is filed under the name Saimiri boliviensis boliviensis (Bolivian squirrel monkey). RNAcentral describes it as "7SK RNA (ENSSBOG00000008902.1)". It matches the Rfam family "7SK RNA". Rfam says of the family: 7SK was discovered as an abundant small nuclear RNA in the mid-70s but a possible function has only recently been suggested. Lineage: Eukaryota; Metazoa; Chordata; Mammalia; Primates; Cebidae. The record is from RNAcentral.
UGAUGUGAGGGCAAUCUGGCUGUGACAUCUGUCACUCCAUUGAUUGCCAGCAUUGAUUUGGCUGAUCUGGCUGGCUAGGCAGGUAUCCCCUUCUUCCCACACUGCUCCACAUGCAUCCUUCCUGAAGCUAGUCAAAGAGGACAACCAUCCUGAUAAAGCAGGACCAGUCUUCAGUCAAGGGUAUAUGAAUAGCUGCUCUUUCUAGCUAGAAUCUCCAAACAAACUCUCAAGGCCCAUUGUAGGAGAAUGUAGAGUAGUCAAACUUCCAAGAUUUCAGACACAUGCAAAUGAGGCGCUGCAUGUGGCAAUCUGCCUUU